RNAcentral lists this ribosomal RNA (267 nucleotides) under uncultured bacterium. RNAcentral's name for it is "partial 16S ribosomal RNA". It matches the Rfam family "Bacterial small subunit ribosomal RNA", at positions 793 to 1055 of the family's 1533-position model. The record is from RNAcentral.
GUCCUGGCCCUAAACGGUGCACGUUUGCUGUAAGAGGAAUCGACCCCUUUUGUGGCGAAGCCAACGCGUUAAACGUGCAGCCUGGGAAGUACGGCCGCAAGGUUAAAACUCAAAGAAAUUGACGGGGGCCUGCACAAGCGGUGGAGUAUGUGGCUUAAUUCGAUGCAACGCGAAGAACCUUACCUGGCCUUGACAUGCAUGUAGUAGAACCCCGAAAGGGGGACGAGGUAGCAAUACCAGCAUGCACAGGUGCUGCAUGGCUGUCGU